Non-coding RNA from Elaeis guineensis (African oil palm), 1177 nucleotides. Lineage: Eukaryota; Viridiplantae; Streptophyta; Magnoliopsida; Arecales; Arecaceae. The record is from RefSeq and is a predicted model, not a curated record.
AAUCCGAGGAUGGUUGCGUUCUUCCCAGCCCUCCGCUCCAGUAAUCUCCACGGCUCUCUCCACCACCACGGAGCCACUUCUCCCUAACUCCUACGACUUCCUCUCCUCAAUCAUUCCCAAUACUUCUUCCCCACCAGUCUUCCCUCCAAGAACACUCUCCUCUCUCACCGUCCAAGAAAUUGCCUCAGAUUCCCCCAACCUCUACUCCAAUCCCCAGACCGCUGAAUCCAAGGACCUUGAAAGCCCUCCGUGGUUGCAGGGGUCAAGAAGCCUCCACCAUUACCUGACGGCAUCGGUAAAUAUAAGGAGUUCUAGGUAUCGGCCGAUGGAAUAGAAGGAAUUCCCGAAUCUCUCCCCUGCCCUGAGGUGCUAUCUCUCAUGAGUCGCUUGCGAGAGGAGGGUUACCUAGAGGACGCAAAUUUCUCUCGAGACGUUCCGACGGAUCCCAAAGAAAUCCCUGCUACCUUAUCGUGUCGCCAUUUCUUGAAACCGGCCUUGGAAAAAGUUCGGCCAAGAACAUCAAGAAAUCGCAAAGUGACUGUCUAGAAGUGACCUAACAAAGGUUGCUCAUUUUUGUUGUCCGUCCAUAGAACAGUUUUGCAACUAAAAGAUUGCGCUUCUUCAGCAUUCCAGAGCAUGUCCUAAGUGGUUUCAUAGUGUUCUUGGUGCAAACUAAACUAGUUAAAUACUAUUUUAAACUGGAAGAUUAUUCUCUUUUUUCAAAUCCUUCCAGAUAUGUCAAGGAUGUAAGCUUAGAAGCUCAUGCAAAUAUCUGAACCAAAGAGUACGCAGAGAGGAAAAGAUCAUUCUUGCUGACAUGAUUAGAAUUCCUGCUUCAGUCUCAUUGCAUUCUGUUCCUCAUCAACUAUUCAUUCCCAAUGACCUAAAAUUUUCUGUUGGCAAAUUGCUGACGAAAGUAGUCAAUCUUAGUUGAACACUACAGUCGCUAUGUUUUUGGAGUGGGAUUGUGGAUGGUGACAGAUGCAAGAAAAGGAAACUAUGAACUGGCUCGGUAUUUGUGUUAUUAAUGACAAAAUUUUUGGCCAUAUACAGUUUUGUUUUCCCAUGGAAAUGUAGUGACUUCUACACGACAAGUUAGUAGAUGAAAAAGAAAUAACUUUCGUGCCUCUUGUACCAUCGAAUGGAAGGAUAGUUGAAAGAAUAUGACUAAAAAAAA